Molecule: ribosomal RNA, 490 nt
Filed under: uncultured bacterium
Lineage: Bacteria
Description: partial 16S ribosomal RNA
Rfam family: Bacterial small subunit ribosomal RNA
Source: RNAcentral
AUUGAACGCUGGCGGCAUGCCUUACACAUGCAAGUCGAACGGCAGCAUGAUCUAGCUUGCUAGAUUGAUGGCGAGUGGCUAACGGGUGAGUAAUACAUCGGAACGUGCCCUGUAGUGGGGGAUAACUAGUCGAAAGAUUAGCUAAUACCGCAUACGACCUGAGGGUGAAAGUGGGGGACCGCAAGGCCUCAUGCUAUAGGAGCGGCCGAUGUCUGAUUAGCUAGUUGGUGAGGUAAAGGCUCACCAAGGCGACGAUCAGUAGCUGGUCUGAGAGGACGAUCAGCCACACUGGGACUGAGACACGGCCCAGACUCCUACGGGAGGCAGCAGUGGGGAAUUUUGGACAAUGGGCGAAAGCCUGAUCCAGCAAUGCCGCGUGUGUGAAGAAGGCCUUCGGGUUGUAAAGCACUUUUGUCCGGAAAGAAAUGGCUCUGGUUAAUACCUGGGGUCGAUGACGGUACCGGAAGAAUAAGGACCGGCUAACUACGUG